GUAAGUAGCCAUAAAUCUCGAUCAUGACAGGGCACGAAAGUAAGCCGUUUGGAAGUAAGCCUCCGCAAUGCCGUCGACUUGCAAUUUCCAUUUUAUGGCCUACGAAGAAUUCUGCUGCAGUCGGGGAUGCCUGGAUGCUUCAAGUUGCAGAAUGCGGCCUGCUGGCUGCUGUCUUCGGGCCGUCGACAGGCAGUUAAUGCUGUUUGCCAGCCAGAUUUGGCCAGACGUUGUGAAAAUGUUUGCACUGCACUUGCCAGUCAGGAGUGGAGGAGUCUUGUUAUUAUUGCUGCCGCCGCUGACGCUGCUGCUGAAGCCUCGCUAAGCCCUGCAGCUCCCAAAUUUCUCCAGCGAUGGAACAGGAUGGAAUCAAGACGUCAGCAUCACUCCAGUCAUCACCUGCAUCUCGUCCUGCACCUCCAUGCGCCGCAAUACCUAUAGAAUUGAAUAGAAGAUAAGAAAUGUCCGUUUUCGCUUCCUAAUUAUUGAGGAAAACUGUAAAAUUGUAUCGUAUUGUAAAAUCUAUGUAAGCAGAUCGUUAGGGAUUGCUCUUCCGCAUCGUUAGAGCCAUUCCACGUCAAAAUCGGAUGAGAAAUGUCAAAAUAUCGAAAAAUAACCGAAAAAAUUGAAAUUCAAACGAAAUCCUUGAUCCUUUUCGAUAAUCCACAUCCAAUUUUGACGGGAAUUGCCUUAAACGGUCCAGAAGAACAAUCCCCACCGAUUUGCGACCAAAAAAUUUGUAUUCAUUGGCCAUAACAUGUUUUUGGCCAAAACGGUAUUAGCCAAGUCAAGAUUGUUGUUGUAAAUAAUAAAUGUAAUGGCCAAAUGGUCAUCUUAACCCAUUAUUGGGAUCAA
This 852-nucleotide small RNA is filed under the name Drosophila ananassae. Its description in RNAcentral is "GF27638". Lineage: Eukaryota; Metazoa; Arthropoda; Insecta; Diptera; Drosophilidae. The record is from RNAcentral.